AUUAUCCUCCCAGUCCACAACGCUGAACCGUGGCUGGAUGAAUGUUUGAGGACAACCUGAGGUCGCUGCACUUGCAGGAGGGCCAGGACUUCCUUCACUUCAGCUGACGGACCCAUGGCAGCUGCUCCCAGUGCUCCCCAGGCCAGCAGGAGCUUCCUGAGCUACAGGCAUGGCAACAGUGCACCCCAGUUCCACACCCAGCAGGCGCAACCAGAGUCUCGUGUGUGCUGACCACAGGAGCCGAGCCUUUUCCUGCAUGUGGACUCAUGCAGCCAAGGCUGGGCCUGGUCACCCAGGAUCCUCACCAUGUGACCCCAGCCAAUCGAGGGGACAGUUCAAGGAGGAGGAGACCCCUAUUAGACAGGUUGGAAUAAAAUGUUUAAAUCUUGUAAAAA
RNAcentral lists this small RNA (395 nucleotides) under Pongo abelii (Sumatran orangutan). Its description in RNAcentral is "processed transcript". Lineage: Eukaryota; Metazoa; Chordata; Mammalia; Primates; Hominidae. The record is from RNAcentral.